UGGUGCCAGCAGCCGCGGUAAUUCCAGCUCCAAUAGCGUAUAUUUAAGUUGUUGCAGUUAAAAAGCUCGUAGUUGGAUCUUGGGUCGUAAAGGUCGGUCCGCCUACUCGGUGUGCACCUGCCCUUCCGUCCCUUUUGUCGGCGGCGUGCUCCUGGCCUUAAUUGGCUGGGUCGCGGCUCCGGCGCUGUUACUUUGAAAAAAUUAGAGUGCUCAAAGCAAGCUUAUGCUCUGAAUACAUUAGCAUGGAAUAACGUGAUAGGAGUCUGGUCCUAUUGUGUUGGCCUUCGGGACCGGAGUAAUGAUUAAUAGGGACUGUCGGGGGCAUUCGUAUUUCAUUGUCAGAGGUGAAAUUCUUGGAUUUAUGAAAGACGGACCACUGCGAAAGCAUUUGUCAAGGAUGUUUUCAUUAAUCAAGAACGAAAGUUGGGGGCUCGAAGACGAUCAGAUACCGUCCUAGUCUCAACCAUAAACGAUGCCGACCAGGGAUCGGCGGAUGUUGCUCUAAGGACUCCGCCAGCACCUUCUGAGAAAUCAGAGUGUUUGGGUUCCGGGGGGAGUAUGGUCGCAAGGCUGA
This 574-nucleotide ribosomal RNA is filed under the name Symbiodinium sp. Mp. Its description in RNAcentral is "partial Eukaryotic small subunit ribosomal RNA". It matches the Rfam family "Eukaryotic small subunit ribosomal RNA", at positions 562 to 1140 of the family's 1831-position model. Lineage: Eukaryota; Dinophyceae; Suessiales; Symbiodiniaceae. The record is from RNAcentral.